GUGGACUGGCCGGGAGCAAUGACAAUGGUAUCCGUCUUGAAGGGCUUGGUAUAAGCAGCAUCAACUUCGACAACGGUGAGUUUGUGACCAGCAAUCUUGAAGAAGAGCUCCUCAUUGAGUGCAGCAUUGAUGAUCCGAAGCAUCUUGGGACAGGCCCUGGAUAGCCAUUGAUGGUGUGAGCGUCAGAGACGUUAGGGGCCAAGCCAGACUUCAGAGCUUCAUUGAUGACUGCUUCAACGUCUGAUUUCCACCAUUCACCUACACAGAAGAACAAAACUCAAAAGUUUCAGCCGAUUAGUCAGGUCUUUCCCGGCAUUUUUCACCCCGGAAAAGAGUCGGUACCUAAGACAAGAACGACUUCCUUGUGGGGUUUAGGGAAUGGGUAGGGGACACCGAGCUUGGGCAAGAUGACAAUGGCGCCGUGCACAGUUGCUCUGAGCCAGAGGAUGUGGGCGUGCCACCAAAGAGUUCCUCGUUGGCCUGUGACCGUAAAAUUAUACACAUAGCUUUGCCCUGGUUGGAUUGGACACUGUGUGAUAUACGCAGGCCCAUCUGCCCAACCGGUUCUCAGUUGCCUGAUCCCAUGCCUGCCUCAUCAAGUAAUUAAUUAAUUAGUUAAUUAAUUAAUCUGGUUUAUUUAAUUAAUUUUUAUAAUUAGUGAAGUACCAGUGAAUGCUUAGAUUGUAUUUAACAUGGUUGACUACUUUGACCAGAACAGUGUCGUCCUCUCUGGCAAUCAGAGUUGGACCAGGGAACUGGCCAUUGACAGUGACGAUUGGCUUCGUCGAACAGAGUCUCGUUGUCUUCUUCAUUACCACCUGCAUGCAUAAAUAUUAUAUGUAUAUACACACAGACACACACAUAUAUAUAUAUGUAAUUAUGUAUGUAUUUGUAUGAUGAAGGAAUCGAAAUUAAGCUUACAUUGAA
Molecule: non-coding RNA, 927 nt
Organism: Carica papaya (papaya)
Lineage: Eukaryota; Viridiplantae; Streptophyta; Magnoliopsida; Brassicales; Caricaceae
Source: RefSeq, a predicted model, not a curated record